This 33-nucleotide small nuclear RNA is filed under the name Cervus elaphus hippelaphus. Lineage: Eukaryota; Metazoa; Chordata; Mammalia; Artiodactyla; Cervidae. The record is from RNAcentral.
CGCUUCUCGGCCUUUUGGCUAAGAUCAAGUGUA